UACAGGGGGUGCAAACGUUGCUCGGAAUCAUUGGGCGUAAAGCGCACGUAGGCGGUUCGUUAUGUCGGAUGUGAAAGCCCUUGGCUUAACCGAGGAAGUGCAUCCGAAACUGGCGAGCUAGAGUACUAAAGAGGAUCGCGGAAUUCCCGGUGUAGAGGUGAAAUUCGUAGAUAUCAGGAGGAACACCGGUGGCGAAGGCGGGUCUCUGGGCCGUAACUGACGCUGAGGAGCGAAAGCAUGGGGAGCGAACAGG
This 253-nucleotide ribosomal RNA is filed under the name uncultured bacterium. RNAcentral's name for it is "partial 16S ribosomal RNA". It matches the Rfam family "Bacterial small subunit ribosomal RNA", at positions 524 to 776 of the family's 1533-position model. The record is from RNAcentral.